CCAGGUAAUUGGUGGUGCCCUGGUGCUGAGGCGACCCCGCUGGGGUGCAGCUGGGCUGGGUGCUGGGUACCACUGCCCGUGUGGGAUGGGAUGGGAUGGGAUGGGAUGGGGCAGGAGCCAGGAAAACGCACCGGGUGGGCGCAGGGCACGGGAGAAAAAAUGCAUGGGGAUGGGGAGCGGGGGGCAAAAGCCUGGGGGCUGCUAAAACACCUGGAAGGCACCAAGGGGAGGUGAAUGGGGACAGCCCGAGCUGGUGGCGGAUCAGAGAUGCGAUGCCCUUUUGCAGCGGGGUGUUUUGGGGAAGAUAACGCCUCCUCCCCACCUCCACCUCUCAUUUACGCUGCUUCCCCCUGCCCUGCUCCCUGGUUGUGUCGCCAAACCUGGGGCUGCAGGGACACUGAGGCACAGGUGGUGGCCUCCUGGGCUCCCUUCCAGCAUCGCCCCCGAGCCGAUGGCUCUGCAGGACCUGGGGAAGGGGCAGACUGCCCAGCCCCGUGCCCACCAACAGCUCUGGCCAAGCCCAGGCUGCUCACACGAAGCCCACGGCGAUGUGACCGCUCGCUCCAGCGAGGACGUGCCCAGGGUGUCCCCUGCAGGAGGUGUCUGCGUGCUCUCUGCGUGUCCCCUGCCCGUGUGGGCUCCGUACCAAGCCCGUGCCACCCCUGGAAGCCCUUCCAGCAGGCACAGGGGAUGCCUGGCAGCGGGGUUUAUCCCCCAGCCACAGGCACCGUGGGACCCCCGCUGCCCCACCGCUGCCUCCUCCCCGCCGUGUUUGCUCAGCUGCAGCUCAGCUCCAGUCACCGUCUUCCCAGGUCAACAAAAGCAGCUGAACCCCAACCUACUGCUGGGUUCAGAGCGUACCAGGCUUACCUCCCAGCACAGCUCUCCUCCAGCCUCGCUCCCUUCCCCUUCUCUCCUUGUGGAUGGACUGAGCCGGGGCCCACCCGGUGGCCAAAACGCUCCCAGGGUUGCCAGCGCUGGAGGGGAUGCAGCCACCCCUGCCCUUUUUGGGGUGCCCCCCCAGCACCCCAA
Molecule: long non-coding RNA, 1032 nt
Filed under: Anas platyrhynchos platyrhynchos (common mallard)
Lineage: Eukaryota; Metazoa; Chordata; Aves; Anseriformes; Anatidae
Description: lncRNA (ENSAPLG00000020086.1)
Source: RNAcentral